This 254-nucleotide ribosomal RNA is filed under the name uncultured bacterium. RNAcentral's name for it is "partial 16S ribosomal RNA". It matches the Rfam family "Bacterial small subunit ribosomal RNA", at positions 524 to 776 of the family's 1533-position model. The record is from RNAcentral.
UACGUAGGGGGCAAGCGUUGUCCGGAUUUACUGGGCGUAAAGAGCGUGUAGGCGGCCAAGCAGGUCCGUUGUGAAAACUGGAGGCUUAACCUCCAGACGUCGACGGAAACCGCGUGGCUAGAGUCCGGAAGAGGAGAGUGGAAUUCCUGGUGUAGCGGUGAAAUGCGCAGAUAUCAGGAAGAACACCAAUGGCGAAGGCAGCUCUCGUGGGACGGUACUGACGCUGAGACGCGAAAGCGUGGGGAGCGAACAGG